RNAcentral lists this ribosomal RNA (460 nucleotides) under uncultured bacterium. RNAcentral describes it as "partial 16S ribosomal RNA". It matches the Rfam family "Bacterial small subunit ribosomal RNA", at positions 338 to 795 of the family's 1533-position model. The record is from RNAcentral.
CCUACGGGUGGCAGCAGUGAGGAAUAUUGGUCAAUGGGCGCGAGCCUGAACCAGCCAAGUAGCGUGAAGGAUGACUGCCCUACGGGUUGUAAACUUCUUUUAUAAAGGAAUAAAGUGAGGCACGUGUGCCUUUUUGUAUGUAAUUUAUGAAUAAGGAUCGGCUAACUCCGUGCCAGCAGCCGCGGUAAUACGGAGGAUCCGAGCGUUAUCCGGAUUGAUUGGGUUUAAAGGGAGCGUAGAUGGGUUGUUAAGUCCGUUGUGUAAGUUUGCGGCUCAACCGUAAAAUUGCAUUUGAUACUGGCAGCCUUGAUUACCGUUGCGGUAGGCGGACUUCGUGGUGUAGCGGUGAAAUGCUUAGAUAUCACGAAGAACUCCGAUUGCGAAGGCAGCUUACUAACCUGCCACUGACAUUGAUGCUCGCACGUGUGGGUAUCAAACAGGAUUAGAUACCCUUGUAGUC